UGUGACAUACCUCGCGUUGCCUCGGCAGGUCGCGUCCUACCCUGUACAUCCUACCCUGGAUAGACUUGCCCGGUGGUCGACUCUGCCCUGCCGAUGGCUCAUGCAACUCUGUUUCUCCAGCAUUGGACUUCUGAAAAGUAAACUAAAUCAGUUAAAACUUUCAACAACGGAUCUCUUGGUUCUGGCAUCGAUGAAGAACGCAGCGAAAUGCGAUAAGUAAUGUGAAUUGCAGAAUUCAGUGAAUCAUCGAAUCUUUGAACGCACAUUGCGCCCACCAGUAUUCUGGUGGGCAUGCCUGUUCGAGCGUCAUUUCAACCCUUAAGCCCUCGUCGCUUAGCGUUGGGAGCCUACUGGAACCUCUCCUGUAGCUCCCCAAAGUCAGUGGCGGAGCCGGCUCGCACUCCAGACGUAGUAGCUUUUACCUAUCGCCUGUAGCGUGGACCGGUCCCCUGCCGUAAAACCCCCCAAUUCUUAUAGGUUGACCUCGGAUCAGGUAGGAAUACCCGCUGAACUUAAGCAUAUCAAUAA
RNAcentral lists this ribosomal RNA (528 nucleotides) under fungal endophyte sp. ECD-2008. Its description in RNAcentral is "eukaryotic LSU rRNA". The stretch from base 156 to 309 matches the Rfam family "5.8S ribosomal RNA". The record is from RNAcentral. Lineage: Eukaryota; Fungi.